GACGAACGCUGGCGGCGUGCCUAAUACAUGCAAGUCGAGCGAUGAUUAAAGAUAGCUUGCUAUUUUUAUGAAGAGCGGCGAACGGGUGAGUAACGCGUGGGAAAUCUGCCGAGUAGCGGGGGACAACGUUUGGAAACGAACGCUAAUACCGCAUAACAAUGAGAAUCGCAUGAUUCUUAUUUAAAAGAAGCAAUUGCUUCACUACUUGAUGAUCCCGCGUUGUAUUAGCUAGUUGGUAGUGUAAAGGACUACCAAGGCUAUGAUACAUAGCCGACCUGGGAGGAGGAGCCACAACACCGGGACUGAGACACGGCCCUGACUCCUACGGGAGGCAUCAGCAGGGUAUAUUCGAAAUGGGGGCAACCCUGACCGAGCAACGCCGCGUGAGUGAAGAAGGUUUUCGGAUCGUAAAACUCUGUUGUUAGAGAAGAACGUUAAGUAGAGUGGAAAAUUACUUAAGUGACGGUAUCUAACCAGAAAGGGACGGCUAACUACGUGCCAGCCGCCGCAGUAA
This 514-nucleotide ribosomal RNA is filed under the name uncultured bacterium. Its description in RNAcentral is "partial 16S ribosomal RNA". It matches the Rfam family "Bacterial small subunit ribosomal RNA", at positions 28 to 523 of the family's 1533-position model. The record is from RNAcentral.